GCCAGUGUGGGAUAGUGGUUUGAGCAUUGGACUAGGUCUCUAGAGACAAGGGUUCAAAUCCCUGCUCGGCCA
Molecule: non-coding RNA, 72 nt
Organism: Phrynosoma platyrhinos (Desert horned lizard)
Lineage: Eukaryota; Metazoa; Chordata; Lepidosauria; Squamata; Phrynosomatidae
Source: the annotation of a GenBank genome assembly